RNAcentral lists this ribosomal RNA (371 nucleotides) under uncultured bacterium. RNAcentral's name for it is "bacterial SSU rRNA". It matches the Rfam family "Bacterial small subunit ribosomal RNA", at positions 30 to 402 of the family's 1533-position model. The record is from RNAcentral.
CGAACGCUGGCGGCGUGCUUAACACAUGCAAGUCGAGCGAUGAAGCACCUUCGGGUGUGAAUUAGCGGCGAACGGGUGAGGAACACGUGAAGAAUCUGCCUUCAACUCUGGGAUAACUCCGGGAAACCGGGGCUAAUACCGGAUAUGAGCCUUGAUCGCAUGAUCGGGGCUGGAAAGUUUUUCGGUUGAAGAUGACUUCGCGGCCUAUCAGCUUGUUGGCGAGGUAAUGGCUCACCCAGGCGACGACGGGUAGCCGGCCUGAGAGGGCGACCGGGCCACACUGGGGACUGAGACACGGCCCAGACUCCUACGGGAGGCAGCAGUGGGGAAUAUUGGGCAAUGGAGGAAACUCUGACCCAGCGACGCCGCGU